This 2263-nucleotide ribosomal RNA is filed under the name seawater metagenome. Its description in RNAcentral is "bacterial LSU rRNA". It matches the Rfam family "Bacterial large subunit ribosomal RNA", at positions 494 to 2819 of the family's 2925-position model. The record is from RNAcentral.
ACCAGUACCGUGAGGGAAAGGUGAAAAGCACCCCGACGAGGGGAGUGAAACAGUUUCUGAAACCGGACGCCUACAAACAGUUGGAGCCUCUUUAUGGGGUGACAGCGUACCUUUUGUAUAAUGGGUCAACGACUUGGUCUUACUAGCAAGCUUAAGCCGAUAGGUGUAGGCGCAGCGAAAGCGAGUCUUAAUAGGGCGAAUGAGUUAGUAGGAUCAGACCCGAAACCGAGUGAUCUAGGCAUGAGCAGGUUGAAGGUAAGGUAACACUUACUGGAGGACCGAACCCACAUCUGUUGAAAAAGAUCGGGAUGACUUGUGCCUAGGGGUGAAAGGCCAAUCAAACUCGGAGAUAGCUGGUUCUCCGCGAAAUCUAUUUAGGUAGAGCGUCGCACGAAUACCUUGGGGGGUAGAGCACUGAAUGGGUAAUGGGGACUCACCGUCUUACUGAUCCUAAUCAAACUCCGAAUACCCAAGAGUAAUAUGCGGCAGACACACUGCGGAUGCUAACGUCCGUAGUGGAGAGGGAAACAACCCUGACCCUCAGCUAAGGCCCCUAAUUCAUGGCUAAGUGGGAAAGCAGGUGGGACGACCAAAACAACCAGGAAGUUGGCUUAGAAGCAGCCAUCUUUUAAAGAUAGCGUAACAGCUCACUGGUCUAAUUUAAGUUAUCCUGCGGCGAAGAUGUACCGGGGCUCAAGCCAUGAGCCGAAGCUAGGGAUGCAAUUUAUUGCAUGGUAGCGGAGCGUUCUGUGAUAUAGAACGCUGCGUCUUUAGUAUCUUAGGAUAUUGUGGACGCAAUGUUCUGACUGUGAAGCCGGCGCGUAAGCGAUCCGGUGGAGUGAUCAGAAGUGAGAAUGUUGACAUGAGUAGCGACAAACAGGGUGAGAGACCCUGUCGCCGAAAGUCCAAGGGUUCCUGCUUAAAGCUAAUCUGAGCAGGGUAAGCCGACCCCUAAGGCGAGGCCGAAAGGCGUAGUCGAUGGGAACCAGUUUAAUAUUACUGGGCCAGGAGAUGGUGACGGAUCGAAAGCGUAGUGACUCCUUAUCGGAUUGAAGUUGCUGCCGGACGGUUCCUGGAAAUAGCCCUCCAUUAGAUCGUACCCUAAACCAACACAGGUGGACUGGUAGAGAAUACCAAGGCGCUUGAGAGAACUACAUUGAAGGAACUCGGCAAAAUGCCUCCGUAAGUUCGCGAGAAGGAGGCCCCAUCAGAAGGCAACUUUUGGUGGGGGGCACAGACCAGGGGGUGGCGACUGUUUACUAAAAACACAGGGCUCUGCGAAGUCGUAAGACGACGUAUAGGGUCUGACGCCUGCCCGGUGCUGGAAGGUUAAGAGGAGGUGUGCAAGCACUGAAUUGAAGCCCCAGUAAACGGCGGCCGUAACUAUAACGGUCCUAAGGUAGCGAAAUUCCUUGUCGGGUAAGUUCCGACCUGCACGAAUGGCGUAACGACUUCCCCGCUGUCUCCAAUGUAGACUCAGCGAAAUUGAAUUGCCUGUUAAGAUGCAGGCUUCCCGCGGUUAGACGGAAAGACCCCGUGCACCUUUACUACAGCUUCACACUGGCAUUAGGUCAGACGUGUGCAGGAUAGGUGGUAGGCUUUGAAACUCGGACGCUAGUUCGGGUGGAGCCUCCCUUGAGAUACCACCCCUGUCUGUCUUGAUGUCUAACCGCGGUCCGUUAUCCGGAUCCGGGACCCUGUGUGGCGGGUAGUUUGACUGGGGCGGUCGCCUCCUAAAGAGUAACGGAGGCGCGCGAUGGUUGGCUCAGACCGGUCGGAAAUCGGUCGUCGAGUGCAAUGGCAUAAGCCAGCCUGACUGUGAGUCUGACAAGACGAGCAGAGACGAAAGUCGGUCAUAGUGAUCCGGUGGUCCCGAGUGGAAGGGCCAUCGCUCAACGGAUAAAAGGUACGCCGGGGAUAACAGGCUGAUACUGCCCAAGAGCUCAUAUCGACGGCAGUGUUUGGCACCUCGAUGUCGGCUCAUCACAUCCUGGGGCUGGAGCAGGUCCCAAGGGUUUGGCUGUUCGCCAAUUAAAGUGGUACGUGAGCUGGGUUUAGAACGUCGUGAGACAGUUCGGUCCCUAUCUGCCGUGGGUGUAGGAGACUUGAUGGGAGUUGCCCCUAGUACGAGAGGACCGGGGUGAACGAUCCACUGGUGGAUCUGUUGUUGCGCCAGCAGCAGUGCAGAGUAGCUAUGAUCGGACAGGAUAACCGCUGAAGGCAUCUAAGCGGGAAGCCCCCCCAGAAACAAGGUCUCCCUUGA